This is a long non-coding RNA of Trachemys scripta elegans, 1297 nucleotides long. RefSeq lists it as uncharacterized. NCBI's taxonomy places the organism in Eukaryota, Metazoa, Chordata, Testudines, Emydidae. The transcript has 3 exons. The record is from RefSeq and is a predicted model, not a curated record.
GGUGGCGCGUAGGGUGGGGGCAGCAUGUGGAACCCCCUGGCUGCCCCACAUGCCGCUGCUUCUGGGAGUCACAGUGCACACAGAGUGGGGCAAGCUCCUGACCCUGUUCCCCAGCGGGAGCUUGAGGGCAGGAUUAAAACGUCUGAAAGGCUGGAUGCAGCCCUUGGGCCAUAGUUUGUCCACCCCUGUUCUAGAGUCCUGGCCAAGAAUCUAAAGGAGGGGCAGGAGGAGGAGACAUUACAGGUGCUUUUUGCUUGAUUGACCUUAGAAUGUUUGUUACUGCUUGCAUCCACCUUUCUGCUUGUAACCCCCUCUCCCUGCUUUAUGUGCUUGGCCCAUGGCUACCACCUGGCACUGUGGCUUCAGAGUUUUCCAAGAUGUCUGAGUGGCGAAGAAGUCCAGCGAUGUGAACAUUAGGAAGGAUUUGGCAGCCCGGCAAUACCCUUAAGAUUCUCUGGCACGCAUGCUGCAUGAUGCCUGACAGUACCACGGGACUGAACAUCUCUUCAAAGGAGAAGUUUCACAUCUGAGAUGAAAGUCCAGUGGAGGGGACAGGACCAAGUGAUCUCUCUCCUCCCUGGUCACCAUAGCAGCAGGGAAUCUCCUCCCUCCCCCACAGACAUGGGCUGCAGUGAAGAAUAAUAUCCCAACCCGCAACGGAAACCAGUGAGCAGUUGUGGAUCAGUGUUUGCAAUGGCCAGAACUUUAUUAUUAAUUAUUUGGGGUAUGCUGUGCCUAGAAGCCCCAGCUGAGAUCCAGAUCCCUGUGUACAUACAUGUAGUCCCUGCCCUGAAGAGCUUACAAACUGAACAGAUAAAACGGACAAAAGAAGUUGUACUGUCCCUGUUCUAUGGUUGAAGAAAUGAGGCACGGAGGGGUUCGGUGACUUUCCCCAGGUCACACAGGGAAGAAGUAUGUGGCAGAGCUGGGAAUGGAACUUGGGUACCUUCCUCUCAAUUUUAAUAACAGGCCCACGAGGCCUUACAAGUCUAGACAUAGCAGCAGCAGUGGAGAAAUUCCACUACAAUACUCACUGGCACCAAACAUUGACUAGUUGGUGGGAGAGUGGAUGGGCGUGGUGGGUUCCUGGUGUCUACUAUAUCUCAUGUUCUGUUUGUGUCGUGCAUAGAGAGAAAUGGGAUUCCCAUAAACUGACAAUGCCACUGUGACACCCUGGCACCCCCUUAUUUACCACUAUCCUGUAAUUAGGUUAUGUUUUGUACAGAGUAUGCCUUGUGAGGUCUCAUUCUAAAAGUAUUGAUCUGCUAGACAUUAAUAUCUCAUUGGAUUGUAUGUG